Molecule: RNA transcript, 1638 nt
Organism: Mus musculus (house mouse)
Lineage: Eukaryota; Metazoa; Chordata; Mammalia; Rodentia; Muridae
Gene: Ndufaf1
Gene name: NADH:ubiquinone oxidoreductase complex assembly factor 1
Exons: 5
Source: RefSeq, marked validated
AGAAGGACUAUUCGGGGGAAGCCGAAUGUGGGGUCUGAGAAGGUGAGCGGAACCUUCUCAUAGGUGGGAACUGCAGGGACGAGGAGGUCGGGAAGAGUCCUGGCGGGUGAGGUGAGGGUCGAGGGGCUGCCACUCCUCGGGAGCGCCUAGCUUCAGGAGGCUGGGACGUGACCAACCCCGCGCCUGCCGAGAGGUGAACGCCUGGUCUUCAGAGUGGAAUUGGGCUUAUUGUUGAAGCUUGUUUUCUCAGCCCGGGCAAAUUUUUACAUUUUAAUACUUUUUUCUUACGAUGGCAAUGUCUUCCAUUCACAAAUUACUGACUGGCAUUUACAUUCAUAAAAAUUUCCUGAGGCCAAGGGCUGCAUUACCUCCAUUUGUGGGUAGUCACUGUGUAGACUAUUCUUCCAGUAGUCUUCAGAAAAAAGUGACUUCUGUUGACAGAGCCUCCCAGCAGGGAAAGACUGAAGAGGGCUUACAAGGACAUGACCACAAAGAAGUUGCUUUGGAUGCACCUUCUCCUGACAGGACACCUGAAGUUAGUUUUGAUAAAGCAAUUAGAGAUGAAGCAAUAGAACAUUUUAGACGUUUGAAGGAUGAAAUUGUGGCUCAUUUGAGAGGCCCAGACGGCCGCCCAUUACAAGAGGUCAUAAUGGAACAAGCCAGGGUUGUCUGGCAGUUUCGUGAAAAAGAAGAUUUGGAUAAGUGGAUAGUGACUUCUGAUAAGACAAUUGGAGGUAGAAGUGAAAUAUUCUUGAAAAUGAGCAAGAACAACCGAAGUGCCCUGCUUUAUGGAACUCUGAGCUCUGAGCCUCCUCAGGAUGGGGACAGUAGACAAAGUGGAUACUGUGCCAUGAUCUCCAGGAUUCCACGGGGUGCUUUUGAGAGGAAGCUGUCUUAUGAUUGGUCCCAGUUCAAUACUCUGUAUCUCCGAGUUCGUGGGGAUGGACGGCCUUGGAUGGUAAAUAUCAGGCAAGACACGGAGUUUAUCCAGAGAAAAAAUCAGAUGUACAGUUACUUCAUGUUCACCCGUGGGGGACCCUACUGGCAGGAAGUCAAGAUUCCUUUCUCCAAAUUUUUCUUUUCAAAUCAAGGAAGGGUACGAGAUGUCCAAGGCCCACUCGUAUUGGACAAGGUGAUGUCACCACUCAUAAUGAGGCCUUCCUUAGUGAACUGCAGUUGUUGUGAGCUCCAGCUCAGCCUGUUUUGUAAGGAUGGCAGAUGACGGAUUAAAAUUCCUGCCCAGGCUCCUCUGUUAGGACAGAAGCCGACUUGGACCUCCUUCCUGGGGGAUAUCUCUUCUAUAGGAUUCACUCUGUCUGAUAAGGUGGAUGGACCAUUCUUCCUGGAAAUAGAUUUCAUUGGUGUGUUUACUGAUCCAGCCCAUACAGAAGAAUUUGCUUAUGAGAAUUCUCCCGUUCUUAACCCAAGACUCUUCAGAUAGAGAACUGGGGACGUCAGUAGAGUAGUGGUCACAAAGCAGACAGAGCCUUUCUGUCUACCCGACCCCUUUCGUAGUACUUACUUAAGACGGUAAGUACAGCAUGGCCUCUCAGUGGAAGUUCUUCUGAGUGCUUACAUAAAGAUGAAUCAAAGGAAGUGUACUGAAAACAAAAAUAAAGCCUUUCUGCCUACCACCUA